AUUGAACGCCGGCGGCAGGCCUAACACAUGCAAGUCGAGCGGAUGAAGGGAGCUUGCUCCUGGAUUCAGCGGCGGACGGGUGAGUAAUGCCUAGGAAUCUGCCUGGUAGUGGGGGAUAACGUCCGGAAACGGGCGCUAAUACCGCAUACGUCCUGAGGGAGAAAGUGGGGGAUCUUCGGACCUCACGCUAUCAGAUGAGCCUAGGUCGGAUUAGCUAGUUGGUGGGGUAAAGGCCUACCAAGGCGACGAUCCGUAACUGGUCUGAGAGGAUGAUCAGUCACACUGGAACUGAGACACGGUCCAGACUCCUACGGGAGGCAGCAGUGGGGAAUAUUGGACAAUGGGCGAAAGCCUGAUCCAGCCAUGCCGCGUGUGUGAAGAAGGUCUUCGGAUUGUAAAGCACUUUAAGUCGGGAGGAAGGGCAGUAAGUUAAUACCUUGCUGUUUUGACGUUACCAACAGAAUAAGCACCGGCUAACUUCGUG
RNAcentral lists this ribosomal RNA (484 nucleotides) under uncultured bacterium. RNAcentral describes it as "partial 16S ribosomal RNA". It matches the Rfam family "Bacterial small subunit ribosomal RNA", at positions 30 to 507 of the family's 1533-position model. The record is from RNAcentral.